Molecule: long non-coding RNA, 1118 nt
Organism: Drosophila miranda
Lineage: Eukaryota; Metazoa; Arthropoda; Insecta; Diptera; Drosophilidae
Exons: 4
Source: RefSeq, a predicted model, not a curated record
CACGCAACUCUGCCACUGCUUCCCAGGUUCCACUAUAGAUGGAACUCGGCUCUCUCCAAAACCGCCCAUAACACCACACUACCGUUUCCAGGAUUACUCCGCCGAAACGGGAGUGCCAAGCAGGCGGGCUUUUUCAAUUAAGGGGCCCCAAACGUAGGCCAUCGCCCACACCCUGAGAUUGAGAGUCUCUGGCUCCAUCGACUGAGAUGCCUGGGCUACUGCUUCAGAUCCUUUGCGUGAAACACCCCAAUACGUGAGCCUUGCAACGUCUCCAGCUCGUACAGACUGUUGCCCAUACUCCGGAUCACUCGGCACUUGACGUAUUUUGGGCUGAACUUCGCGUUGAUGUUGUCUUUAAAUUUGCUCAACACGAAAUUCCGCUUAUAUAUCUCCUGACCCGGCUUCAUGAGAGUUUCCUCGGACCUCAUCUCGGACCAUUUCCAUCUUGUCACUCCUCGCCAAGGGGGACAUUUGUGCAUCAUUUAGGGCGCCCAGUCUGCGUGCCAAUUUAUAAUCUCGGCCGCUAGUAAACAUGUGUUGCCCAAACAACUCAAAGUAUGGCGACGUCCCGAUACCCGUGUGUAUAACGCUCCUAGCCACACACUGGAUCUCCGUCAGCUUCUCGUCCCAGCGCGUGUGAUCCUCACUAGCGUAUGUCCUUAUUGCUGCCAGUACAGUCUGGUUCACUCGUUCGGCCGCGUUCGCCUGCGGUGCAUAGUUCCCCGACUUCAGGCACGCCAAACUGCGCGAGACCUCGGCGUGCAAGAAUCGGAUCACGGCCGAAGACGUCGCCUUAGGCAAAGCCAUCAACCAGACAUAUCUGGACAUGUGAUCGAGGACUAUUAGUAUGACUACAUUGCCACUUCGAGUCCUCGGAUAUGGACCCAGGAAAUCCAGGUGUCACAAUCAGCCACAUAUGCCUUCACCUGCACGGUCAUCCGGGGCCAAUAAUAGAACUGUCGCAGCCGUCCCAGUGUCCUCGCGAUUCCUCCAUGCAUUGCCACAUCGCUGUCGUGAGCCUGUUGGAUCAGUGUGCUCGUCAGGGCUUCCGGGAUCCAUAGUGUUCGGGCCAGCCGCUGAAGAAUAACCGUAACUUUAACAUUAGUAUUGUAUGAGCA